AAGUCGUAACAAGGUUUCCGUAGGUGAACCUGCGGAAGGAUCAUCACUGAGAGGCUCACUGGCCGCGAGGGCAGGGGGCUUGAUAUCUUACACUCAGUGCACCGUAUUGCUGGCCCGCCGCCCUCCAGGGCGGUGAUAGGCUGCCAUGCUGCCCUCCAGGGCAGUUGUGGCUGCUGGGGCUAAUUGGUCACGUUGGCCAUCUUGGUCAUGCGUGGCCCGCACACUCACUACUAGUCUGAAAGAAUAGUCAUAUGACACAUGGACAACUUUCAUCAGUGGAUCUCUAGGCUCUC
Molecule: unclassified non-coding RNA, 293 nt
Filed under: fungal sp.
Lineage: Eukaryota; Fungi
Description: partial internal transcribed spacer region
Rfam family: Eukaryotic small subunit ribosomal RNA (bases 1-46)
Source: RNAcentral